This 63-nucleotide transfer RNA is filed under the name Moema peruensis. RNAcentral's name for it is "Aphyolebias peruensis tRNA-Tyr". It matches the Rfam family "tRNA". From Rfam's summary of the family: Transfer RNA (tRNA) molecules are approximately 80 nucleotides in length. Their secondary structure includes four short double-helical elements and three loops (D, anti-codon, and T loops). Further hydrogen bonds mediate the characteristic L-shaped molecular structure. tRNAs have two regions of fundamental functional importance: the anti-codon, which is responsible for specific mRNA codon recognition, and the 3' end, to which the tRNAs corresponding amino acid is attached (by aminoacyl-tRNA synthetases). tRNAs cope with the degeneracy of the genetic code in two manners: having more than one tRNA (with a specific anti-codon) for a particular amino acid; and 'wobble' base-pairing, i.e. permitting non-standard base-pairing at the 3rd anti-codon position. The record is from RNAcentral. Lineage: Eukaryota; Metazoa; Chordata; Actinopteri; Cyprinodontiformes; Rivulidae.
UAAGAUGGCUGAAAUAGUGGUGGAUUGUAGCUCCAUAUAUAAAGGUUUAAAUCCUUUUCUUAC